RNAcentral lists this transfer RNA (77 nucleotides) under Candidatus Omnitrophota bacterium. Its description in RNAcentral is "tRNA-Val". It matches the Rfam family "tRNA". From Rfam's summary of the family: Transfer RNA (tRNA) molecules are approximately 80 nucleotides in length. Their secondary structure includes four short double-helical elements and three loops (D, anti-codon, and T loops). The record is from RNAcentral. Lineage: Bacteria; Pseudomonadati; Candidatus Omnitrophota.
GGGCGGAUAGUUCAGCUGGUUAGAACAUUCGGCUUACAUCCGAAAGGUCGCAGGUUCGACUCCUGCUCCGCCUACCA